GGGAAUGUCCGCUACCA
This 17-nucleotide transfer RNA is filed under the name Gehyra sp. MPH-2011. RNAcentral's name for it is "partial tRNA-Tyr". The record is from RNAcentral. Lineage: Eukaryota; Metazoa; Chordata; Lepidosauria; Squamata; Gekkonidae.